RNAcentral lists this ribosomal RNA (468 nucleotides) under uncultured bacterium. RNAcentral describes it as "partial 16S ribosomal RNA". It matches the Rfam family "Bacterial small subunit ribosomal RNA", at positions 28 to 507 of the family's 1533-position model. The record is from RNAcentral.
GACGAACGCUGGCGGCGUGCUUAACACAUGCAAGUCGAACGGAAAGGCCCUGCUUUUGUGGGGUGCUCGAGUGGCGAACGGGUGAGUAACACGUGAGUAACCUGCCCUUGACUUUGGGAUAACUUCAGGAAACUGGGGCUAAUACCGGAUAGGAGCUCCUGCUGCAUGGUGGGGGUUGGAAAGUUUCGGCGGUUGGGGAUGGACUCGCGGCUUAUCAGCUUGUUGGUGGGGUAGUGGCUUACCAAGGCUUUGACGGGUAGCCGGCCUGAGAGGGUGACCGGCCACAUUGGGACUGAGAUGCGGCCCAGACUCGUACGGGAGGCAGCAGUGGGGAAUAUUGCACAAUGGGCGGAAGCCUGAUGCAGCAACGCCGCGUGCGGGAUGACGGCCUUCGGGUUGUAAACCGCUUUCGCCUGUGACGAGGCGUGAGUGACGGUAAUGGGUAAAGAAGCACCGGCUAACUACGUG